CCUACGGGUGGCAGCAGUGGGGGAUAUUGCACAAUGGGGGAAACCCUGAUGCAGCGACGCCGCGUGAGUGAAGAAGGAUUUCGGUAUGUAAAGCUCUAUCAGCAGGGAAGAAAAUGACAGUACCUGACCAAGAAGCCAUGGCUAACUACGUGCCAGCAGCCGCGGUAAUACGUAGGGGGCAAGCGUUAUCCGGAUUUACUGGGUGUAAAGGGAGCGUAUACGGUUAGGUAAGUUCGGAGUGAAAGCCGCGGGCCCAACCCCGGGACAGCUUUGGAAACUGUGUAACUGGAGUACAGGAGAGGCAGGCGGAAUUCCUGGUGUAGCGGUGAAAUGCGUAGAUAUCAGGAGGAACACCGGCGGCGAAGGCGGCCUGCUGGACUGAAACUGACGUUGAGGCUCGAAAGCGUGGGGAGCGAACAGGAUUAGAUACCCUUGUAGUC
Molecule: ribosomal RNA, 440 nt
Filed under: uncultured bacterium
Lineage: Bacteria
Description: partial 16S ribosomal RNA
Rfam family: Bacterial small subunit ribosomal RNA
Source: RNAcentral